AGGUAAGGUAAUAAAUAGAAAGUGAAUCAUUCUUCUUUCACUUAUGUGUCAAAUUUUGCAAAUGCUUACUGUUGUAUUCUGAGAUGUUUUAAGUGUUCUUGAAUUCUAGUGAACAUAAAGAUAUAUGAAUUUCAUUUUAGUUCAGCAGGAACUGAAAAUAUGCUUUAUCUUUUCAAGUUAUCUUGAAAAUUUGGCUUACUGUUUUGAGAGGAAAAACCACUAAAUCCAGUAAAGGGGUUUGUAGAGUUGAUUUUCAUUCAUAUUAAUUAUGUGUUAUUUGCAGUGACUAAUUGGUGAAGCGAUUCUUAGAUGGGUAUGCAUAUCUAUGGUGAGAGCUGGCAGAAAAAUAAUUAUUUUUAAAACAAAUAUUUUAAGAAAAAAGAUCUGUUCUUUUUAUAGAUUGAAUUUGAGAUUUGCUGACACUUAACAAUAUAUACAAUGGGAUUUUUUCUCACUAGUAAUUAACAGAGUUCAGUGGUACUAAUUUUCUUUUUGAUGGCAAGUACUAAGGUGCUGAAAAUAAUAAUCCAUCAGUUAUAAAUAGGAAAUCAUCUUGUGGAUGAUUUAAUUUUUUGAGAGCAAAAAAAUGAAGUUUAGGCCCUGAAAUUUGACAGAGAAUGGCAAACUUCUAAGCUGGUAAGUACUGUGGUUGAAGUUUGAAAACUGUGUGAUCUGUGUAUCACAGUGCUGCUUCAAAUAGUUACAGAAAAUUGUUUUUAAAUUAGAUAUGAUUUAGCCCAGGGAUCUAAAAGAUGGUAAUAUCUUCAUCCUCUGUGGAAAACAAACAAAAAAAGGAUAUCUGCUAUUUAAAACUGAAUCUGCAAAACUCUUGAACACUUUUGACCUUACUCCUAUGCACUUGUCUUCAUCAAUAAAAAUUUCCAUCACUUUAAUUUGCCUUAUAAACAUCUCAUCUUGUAGGCAGGUAACAUACAGAUUUUAAUCAAAAAUUCCAAAGUAUUUUCAGAAAGCUUUUCUUCUUAGAAGUUUCACUUUCACUUCUAAGUGGACACAAAUAAUGCCACGUGAUAAAGGUGGCCAAUCUCAGAGUAAAAAAAGCAGUGUCAGCAGCAUGUCCUUGUGGCUCAGAAGGUCAGUGGUAUCCUGGGUUGCAUUAAAAAGUGUAUGGCCCCUCUACUCUGCCCUGCUGAGGACACGUUUGGUGACAUUCUUUACUUUGAGUGUGACAGAGCACUGGAACAGGCUGCCCAGAGAUGUUGUGGAGUAUCCUUCUCUGGAGAUAUUCAAAACCUGUCUGAACUUCUUCCUGUAAAUCCUACUGUAGGGAACCUCAUUUAGCAGGAGAGUUAGACAGGAUAAUCCCCAGAAGUCCCUUCCAACUCCUAUGAUUCUAUGACUCUGAAAGUGCCGAAAAUUUUAUCAUGGAUAGAAGUGUUUGAAUUGAACUGUCACUGACAAAGCUGAAGGCAUAAGCAGAUUAAUAAAAAUCAGCAUUUAAAAUUGGAAAAAAUGCAUUAUGUAUGGUUGAAAUAUAUAGACUGUUUUCACAGUUCAGUUAAGUCUACUCAUAACUUUGGAGCUGACAAGCAUUAAAACACUGACUGUCUUUCUCUUCAUGUCUCUGACAGGACUGGGAUUCAGAAGUUUCUGUUUCAUUAAUUCUACCCCAAAACUGAUACAUUUACUUUAUUAUUCAGGAAAGUUGCUAUAGAUUCAUGUGAUUUAGAGCAUUUUUUUUUUUAGUCAAUAUUAAAAAUACAUUAUAUUCCAUAAUGCCCUCGGUAGGAGUUUGGACUACUCUGCUCCAAUUCUCAGUCAACUGAACAUGUAUAAACCUGGAGGAAAUCUGAUCUGGAUUAAUUGAUUUUGGAUGUAGUUACUCAAACCAUAUAAAAUAUGUUCUGCAAAUCUAUCAUCUGACAGUCAAUCUCAAUUGUUAUCACAUUUAAAAUACAGAGUGUGUCACACUGGGGGUUUCACAGAAAUAAAACGUGCCCUCUCUGGAAAAAGGCCACUCUCAUAGUAAUUUAAGUAACAAGAUAGAAAUUUCUACCUAUUUAGAGUCUUGAUAAAUAGAAUGCACAAUUGUCUCAUAGGUUCGUAUUUCUUUCUUUCUGGAGUUAAUUCUUAAUUUCCUCAAUUUAAGAUGUUAAAAAUAACUUUAAUACUGCCUUGGAAUAUUAACUCGAUUACAGGAUUGAAAUGGCUUUAAAUGAUCUCAUAGGUUUUUCAGAGACAGAAGUUUUCAUGACAUAUUAUGUGGGAACAUUGCAACACACAGAAACACUACUAAGACACUGCAUUACUUUCCAGUACUGUUCAAUAGGGACUUUAAUAAAGUACAUAAUUUCUUCAAGCACAUAAACUGAGUCUAUGUCCAGUGGCUGCUGAGAAUCAUGGAACUGUAGAAUAUCCAAGUUGGAAGGGAUCCAUAAAGAUCAUCAAGUCCAACUUCCGGCUCUACACAGGACAACCCAAAAAUCAGACAACAUACCUGGAAAUAUUUUUGAAGACUACAGUCAGCCAACACCAAACUGUUCUGAAAAAGCUUCUGAAGGUCAUGUGUUUGAGCUCUGCCGCACUCUUCUGCUCAGCAAACAAGCAAGGAAAGGCAUUUGAAGCCUGCAUAAUUUAUGCAGAUUGAGCACCCGGUGAAGAGACACAGUCAGCCCUGGGAGCACAGGUGAAAUCAAUUUGGAACUUGAUUCCACCCCUCCCUAAGCCUCAUUUAAGGACUGGCUGCCACCAAGGAAGAAUUUUGACCUGGAAUCCUUUUGGAAUGUUCAGGGAGCCCUGAUCCUUAAUGUGGAAUUUUCUGAAAAAAAAAAAAAAAAAAUUAAGCAACAGGAAGUUGAGAAUAUCUUUACAUUGAGGAACUCCAGUGUAGACUGCAAAGGAAAAUAAACCUUACUUCACUGCAUGACUUCUGUAAGACCACAAGCCUGGAAUUAUAUAGGAGUGCCCUGCUAGCAAGGAGAAUGCUGGUGCAAAAGAGAGGACAUUACGAGGACAGCUGACCCAAAUGAUGCAAAGGAAUGUACACAAUAUGAUCUCAUGAUCAGCAAUAAGGAAUGGGAGAAAGAAGGAGGAAGAGAUGUUCAGAAUUACAGCAUUUGUCUUCCCAAGAAACUGUUAACUGCGAUGGAGAUCUGCUUUCUUGGAAAUGGCUAAACAUCUGCCUGCUGAUGGGAAGUAGUGAAUGAAUUCCUUAGAUUGCUUUGCAUGAGCAUGAAGAAUUUGCUUUAUCUAUUAAGCUGUCUUUAUCUCAAUCCAUGAGUUUUCUCACUUUUACUUUGGAAAAAACCUUCAAGAUCAUCAAGUCCAUGAACCUCAUCUACUGUGUUCCAGCACUAAACCAUGUCCCUUAGAGCCAAGUCCACUUAUAUGGGGACUCCAGUACUUCCUUGGCAUCUCAUUCCAAUGCUUGACCACUUGGUGUCUUCAGGGUUGUUUCUCACAUUUUCUUACUCCUCUCUUCCAGAUGCGGUUGAACAGAUUUUUUUCCAUUUUCUGCUCUCCUAGAGGCAUAAAUAUUGUAGCCCACAGCUUACUUCUGGACAUCAGCUGGACCCUUUUGUAACAGGCUAGAGCUAGAUCUUAUCUAACAUGGGAAUGUUAAUACUCUUCACAGAAACCACUCCUGCAGCUCCGCUCCCUCCUACCAAAACUUCUUCAAGUAAACUCAUUAGAACACUCCAUGUAAGCAGUAUGGAUGAGCCUAUCCUGUUUUUGCAGAUAAAGAUUAGAUACUUGUAUGCAAGUUCUGCUGCACAGUUUGCUAUCAGAGCCAGAGAAUGGUCCUUGGUAGUGCUUAUUGGUAUAGACAAAACCGUUCCUGUUUGCUAUCCAAUGACUGCACUGAUAUAGCACUAUAGUGCUAGCUGAAUGAACAGAAUAUUUGUGAAAUUGGCUCAAGUCUCAUCUCAAGUACAUACAGAUAAUUGGGUAGAUACAAAGAGUGAGAUCCAAUUUACCUAAUAUAUUUAAUUUCCUUGUAGUCACUGGUAGGAAGCAGUCUCCUUAAUGUAGUUCCCAUCCUGUCUUGUCAAAGGCAAGUGAUAGGAGUCUUUCAGGGUCAUGAGUAAGACUUUUUUUCCCCAUCUGGGGCACUACACUUAAAGAAUAGAUGUAGAUACAGAAUUGAGCUGUCUGGUUGCUUUCAUGACCUACCUCUGAGUACUGUCUGAUUCUUUGUCAGUGAUUAAACAUUCAUACUCACAUCACUUCUGUAAGUUGAGGAGAUAGCCUCCAUUUAUAAGCAUAUAACUGAGAUGUGGAGAGAUUAAACAGACAAAUGUCAAAACCUAAUAAAGGCUGCUAUUGAUUUGAAUGAGAAUUAGAUCAGGCCAUUUGUGAAUUAACUUCCCAAAUGCUCUGCUAUCUUUUCAAUAAAGGUAUGUAUUUACUUCUGUAUAAUAAAUAUGUACUAUGUGGGAUAUCUGUUUAACUGGAAAUAAUUAAAACAUUUUUUAAAAGUCUUACAUUUUGUCAGACAGUAAUGCAAAUAUAGUUGAAGUAGUAAUUUAAUAUUUUAUAUUAGUUAUAUAACUAAUAAAAUGAGAAUUAGUGAAAAUGAGAAUUUAUGAAAAAUAAUACAAGUCAGAAGCAAUUACACAUGCAGAAAGAAUUCUGAAAUAUAUAUCUUGAUCUUU
Long non-coding RNA from Numida meleagris (helmeted guineafowl), 4613 nucleotides. RefSeq lists it as uncharacterized. The record is from RefSeq and is a predicted model, not a curated record. The transcript has 5 exons. NCBI's taxonomy places the organism in Eukaryota, Metazoa, Chordata, Aves, Galliformes, Numididae.